UUUUAGGGAGACCUAAUCCACUCACAGUUUAAAAGCAAACAGCGAAUAGAACUUGAGAUGGUCAUUCCUAGGUCGGUCGCAGAUAUAAGUUGGGGCUUUCAAACUAUGAACGGUUCGUAUAAGGGCUAUUAGCUCAGGUGGUUAGAGCGCACCCCUGAUAAGGGUGAGGUCCCUGGUUCGAGUCCAGGAUGGCCCACCUGAAGCAAGUCAAAAGUCAAAAGUAACCAAUUUUGAAUUUUGAAUUGUAGAUGGGGGUUUAGCUCAGUUGGUAGAGCGCCUGCUUUGCAAGCAGGAUGUCAGCGGUUCGAGUCCGCUAACCUCCACCUAAAGAAAAAAGACAUUCAGCAACAGGACGAAGAGUCAGACUGCUGGGUGAGAGUCCAGUCAGAACCUUGAAAACUGCAUAAGUAACGCGAAAGCAGGCAGACACAGACAUUGAAGAGAUGAUUGUGAAUGCAGGUGAAACACCAAAUGUUAAGU
This 480-nucleotide transfer RNA is filed under the name Johanseniella sp. HA4236-MV2. RNAcentral describes it as "Cylindrospermum sp. HA4236-MV2 16S-23S ribosomal RNA intergenic spacer". The stretch from base 251 to 323 matches the Rfam family "tRNA". The record is from RNAcentral. Lineage: Bacteria; Bacillati; Cyanobacteriota; Cyanophyceae; Nostocales; Nostocaceae.